RNAcentral lists this ribosomal RNA (634 nucleotides) under uncultured Marinobacter sp. Its description in RNAcentral is "bacterial SSU rRNA". It matches the Rfam family "Bacterial small subunit ribosomal RNA", at positions 870 to 1504 of the family's 1533-position model. Lineage: Bacteria; Pseudomonadati; Pseudomonadota; Gammaproteobacteria; Pseudomonadales; Marinobacteraceae. The record is from RNAcentral.
CGCCUGGGGAGUACGGCCGCAAGGUUAAAACUCAAAUGAAUUGACGGGGGCCCGCACAAGCGGUGGAGCAUGUGGUUUAAUUCGACGCAACGCGAAGAACUUACCUGGCCUUGACAUCCAGAGAGCUUUCCAGAGAUGGAUUGGUGCCUUCGGGAACUCUGAGACAGGUGCUGCAUGGCCGUCGUCAGCUCGUGUCGUGAGAUGUUGGGUUAAGUCCCGUAACGAGCGCAACCCCUAUCCCUGGUUGCUAGCAGGUAAUGCUGAGAACUCCAGGGAGACUGCCGGUGACAAACCGGAGGAAGGUGGGGAUGACGUCAGGUCAUCAUGGCCCUUACGGCCAGGGCUACACACGUGCUACAAUGGCGCGUACAGAGGGCUGCCAACUCGCGAGAGUGAGCCAAUCCCUUAAAACGCGUCGUAGUCCGGAUCGGAGUCUGCAACUCGACUCCGUGAAGUCGGAAUCGCUAGUAAUCGCGAAUCAGAAUGUCGCGGUGAAUACGUUCCCGGGCCUUGUACACACCGCCCGUCACACCAUGGGAGUGGAUUGCACCAGAAGUAGUUAGUCUAACCUUCGGGAGGACGAUUACCACGGUGUGGUUCAUGACUGGGGUGAAGUCGUAACAAGGUAACCGUA